Molecule: RNA transcript, 2026 nt
Organism: Quercus lobata
Lineage: Eukaryota; Viridiplantae; Streptophyta; Magnoliopsida; Fagales; Fagaceae
Gene name: mediator of RNA polymerase II transcription subunit 16-like
Exons: 7
Source: RefSeq, a predicted model, not a curated record
UGCAACGCUCAUGUCGCUGAGGCCAGUCUUUUCAAUUUUUUUUUCUCUCUCUCACUUUCCCUCCCCCUUUCUUCACUUUGAACGCCGUAACCGAUACAAGGUGGCGGUGGAUGCCUAUGAGGGUCACCGGACAUCCACAAGAGCAAAAGCGAGGAGAGCUUACAGAAGAAGCGCCUUCGAGCCACUCACCAGCAAUCCUUCUCUUCCUCUCUUCACCACCACCGUCAAAAAGAAGAUUUGGAGUUUCGGGAAUAGAGGUUUUUGCUGAUAUUCUGGUCCAGCGGUUGAUUCAUUGUUACAGCUACGAUUUACGAGUGAUCUCCUUAUGGAACUGGAUGCUGGUGUGGAGUUGGCAACUGCAGCUGUGCCACACCCUUUUCUUCCUUUGGGUGCUGCUGCUAACAUAGUAAAGAAUGUGGUUGCUGUAACAUUAACAUCAACUCGUACUCCAAUUUACAAAGCCUUUGCCAAAGGAGAAAACAUUGGGGAUGUAACUGCUAAAGGAGAAUGUGUUGGGAAUAUUGUAGAUCUGGAAUGUGGAGAACAAUCUAUUCUCUGGAAGUAUACCUGCAAAAUUGCUGAGUGUUCCAAAUUUUAGGCUACUUGGAGGUACAAAUGCUCAAGAAGUUAGAGCAAUGGUUCUUGAUAUGCAAGCAAGGUUGUUGCUGGGUAUGGUGGGGAGAGGAAUUGCAGCAGCUUUGAUAAAUCCUUCGUCUUUAGUACCUGAGCCAUGGCAGGCAUCUGACUGCGGUUUGGCUCCUCUACUAUUGUCUGGUUCUGCGUGUCAGGUAAUAUUGUGUGUAUGAUAUUUAAAUCCUGUUGAUAUAAAAUGCUACAAAUUACUAUUAUUGAUUGAUGUUUUCUGAAGACGUUUUCAUAGGAUUGUUCAUAGUCUUCCACUACUGUAUAGUGCAAAGUCAUAUUUUCAGAUGUCUUAGCAUAUUGUAUAGUGAUGGUCUCAUCCUUCACCACUGUAGGACUGACAUAAUGUGUUUGAGUCCAAACUGACUUGAUCCGACCCGUUGACACCCCUAGAUAUGAAGACCAUUUUGUUCCUUUCUAAAUGCGGAGCCUUUCAUUUGAGUAAUAUUAUUGUCCCUUCAAAAAAUUUUCUUUUCAAGAGCUUUUAGCAGGUGCUUCAUAACUUAUUAGAUUUCUUUAAUUAAAAAGAUUUUUUCUGAAGAUGUUUUCAUAGGCUUUUUCAGUUUCUUCCACUACUGUAUAGUGCAAAGUCAUAUUUUCUGAUGUCUUAGCAUAUUGUUACUUUUUUGCUUAUGGGCAGUUUGGGUAAUUUUUUAUAUCAUAAAUGGUCACUCUAUGUUUUGUUUUAAGUCAUUGUCAUGCUAGUUCUGGUAUGUUCUAGUGCUUCCACAAGCUCAAAGUCAACUUUUGAGGAAAAGUUCCUUUCAUAGCAGUCUCAAACUUCAGGUUUGUUGCUCUUUGCAAUCUCUUUUUACAGUGUUUGGUUUAUGAUGCUGCCAUGGCUCAUGAGACUAGGAAUUUUAAGUUAUGUGGUGCAUUUUUUCAUAUGUAACUUGUAGAUUGUGGUUGUUUGUCAGUAGCAAGCUUACAACAAGGUGAAAUGGCAUCGUUGCCAUUUUAAUGGCUUGGAAGGGGUUAUUUUUGCUAUAUAAUGUGUUUCAUGGAGACAUAUUGGCCAUUUCAAUAGUAUUGGGGAAAUAUUUCAGCAAGUCAAGGGGUUUUUAGGAGGCAUGUUGUCCAUUUAUAUGGUUGUGGAGUAGUAUUUUCGCAACUUAAGGAGUUUUGAAAGGGCAGUUUGGACAUGUCAUUGAAUUUCGCGAGGUACUUUCUAAUUAUUGUGUUUUUAGGGAGAAGUUUGGUCAUUUUAAGGGUUUUGGUUGUAUAGUUUUGCAUUUUAAUGAGUUUUGGGUGGGAUUUUGGCCAUUUUAAUGAAUUUAGCUACAGAGUGAAUUUUGGUGAUUUUAACGGUUUUGGAUGAGAAUUUAAGCAGUUUAAUGGGUUUAGAGGGGGCAGUUUGCUCAUUUGAAUGACUUUGAUAUUGUAA